Molecule: ribosomal RNA, 497 nt
Filed under: uncultured bacterium
Lineage: Bacteria
Description: partial 16S ribosomal RNA
Rfam family: Bacterial small subunit ribosomal RNA
Source: RNAcentral
GAUGAACGCUGGCGGCGUGCCUAAUACAUGCAAGUAGAACGCUGAAGGAAGGAGCUUGCUCUUUCCGGAUGAGUUGCGAACGGGUGAGUAACGCGUAGGUAACCUGCCUGGUAGCGGGGGAUAACUAUUGGAAACGAUAGCUAAUACCGCAUAACAGUAGAUGUUGCAUGAUAUCUACUUAAAAGGUGCAAUUGCACCACUACCAGAUGGACCUGCGUUGUAUUAGCUAGUUGGUGAGGUAACGGCUCACCAAGGCGACGAUACAUAGCCGACCUGAGAGGGUGGUCCGCCACACUUGGAACGAGACACGGCCCAGACUCCUACGGGAGGCAGCAGUAGGGAAUCUUCGGCAAUGGACGGAAGUCUGACCGAGCAACGCCGCGUGAGUGAAGAAGGUUUUCGGAUCGGAAAGCUCUGUUGUAAGAGAAGAACGAGUGUGAGAGUGGAAAGUUCACACUGUGACGGUAUCUUACCAGAAAGGGACGGCUAACUACGUG